Gallus gallus (chicken) is the source of this 115-nucleotide microRNA precursor. Lineage: Eukaryota; Metazoa; Chordata; Aves; Galliformes; Phasianidae. The record is from Ensembl.
GAUCUCGACUUUAUUUUUCCUCUUUGUAGUUAUAUUUUUGGAGUAGCUGUUUGUCUUCUCGCAGCUUUCCCAAUAAAGCAACUCCAGUGUCAGAAUUGAAGAUGAAGUUGGUGUC